ACACUCCUACGGGAGGCAGCAGUGGGGAAUAUUGCACAAUGGGCGCAAGCCUGAUGCAGCCAUGCCGCGUGUAUGAAGAAGGCCUUCGGGUUGUAAAGUACUUUCAGCGGGGAGGAAGGCAAUACGGUUAAUAACCGUGUUGAUUGACGUUACCCGCAGAAGAAGCACCGGCUAACUCCGUGCCAGCAGCCGCGGUAAUACGGAGGGUGCAAGCGUUAAUCGGAAUUACUGGGCGUAAAGCGCACGCAGGCGGUCUGUCAAGUCGGAUGUGGAAUCCCCGGGCUCAACCUGGGAACUGCAUUCGAAACUGGCAGGCUUGAGUCUUGUAGAGGGGGGUAGAAUUCCAGGUGUAGCGGUGAAAUGCGUAGAGAUCUGGAGGAAUACCGGUGGCGAAGGCGGCCCCCUGAACAAAGACUGACGCUCAGGUGCGAAAGCGUGGGGAGCAAACAGGAUUAGAUACCCCGGUAGUCCCAUGAU
RNAcentral lists this ribosomal RNA (477 nucleotides) under uncultured organism. Its description in RNAcentral is "partial 16S ribosomal RNA". It matches the Rfam family "Bacterial small subunit ribosomal RNA", at positions 333 to 801 of the family's 1533-position model. The record is from RNAcentral.